This 28-nucleotide non-coding RNA is filed under the name Mus musculus (house mouse). Lineage: Eukaryota; Metazoa; Chordata; Mammalia; Rodentia; Muridae. The record is from RNAcentral.
UGAAUGGUUGUGCUCCUCUCUGUUCUGG